GAAUAAUCAGAAAUGCAUUUUGCAGCAUAUAGACUGGUUAAAUGUUUUACAAUCUAUCAGAUAUUGCU
This is a small nucleolar RNA of Neopsephotus bourkii (Bourke's parrot), 68 nucleotides long. RefSeq annotates it as small nucleolar RNA SNORD77. The transcript has a single exon. The record is from RefSeq and is a predicted model, not a curated record. NCBI's taxonomy places the organism in Eukaryota, Metazoa, Chordata, Aves, Psittaciformes, Psittacidae.